Molecule: transfer RNA, 67 nt
Filed under: Scarabaeidae sp. BMNH 1274753
Lineage: Eukaryota; Metazoa; Arthropoda; Insecta; Coleoptera; Scarabaeidae
Description: tRNA-His
Source: RNAcentral
AUUUAAGUAGUUUAAUUUAAAAUAUUGAUUUGUGGAAUCAAUGAUAUAUUGAAAGAUAUCUUAGAUA